Molecule: transfer RNA, 65 nt
Filed under: Holotrichia oblita
Lineage: Eukaryota; Metazoa; Arthropoda; Insecta; Coleoptera; Scarabaeidae
Description: tRNA-Thr
Source: RNAcentral
GUUUUAAUAAUUUAUAUAAAAUAUCGGUCUUGUAAAUCGAAAAUAAGAUUUUCUCUUUUAAAACU